UACCAGCACCCCGAGUGGUCGGGACGAUUAUUGGGCCUAAAGCAUCCGUAGCUGGUUCUGCAAGUCUUCCGUUAAAUCCACCUGCUCAACAGAUGGGCUGCGGAGGAUACUACAGGGCUAGGAGGCGGGAGAGGCAAGCGGUACUCAGUGGGUAGGGGUAAAAUCCGUUGAUCCAUUGAAGACCACCAGUGGCGAAGGCGGCUUGCCAGAACGCGCUCGACGGUGAGGGAUGAAAGCUGGGGGAGCAAACCGG
This 253-nucleotide ribosomal RNA is filed under the name uncultured bacterium. RNAcentral describes it as "partial 16S ribosomal RNA". It matches the Rfam family "Archaeal small subunit ribosomal RNA", at positions 474 to 727 of the family's 1478-position model. The record is from RNAcentral.